GUUUUUCCACACCAUUUAUUGAAGAGACUAUCUUUUCUUUAUUGAGUAUUCUUGGCUCCAUUGUCAAAUAUAAGUUGACUGUAUAUGGCAGUGGUGAUUUGUUGGCAC
Non-coding RNA from Ceratotherium simum simum (southern white rhinoceros), 108 nucleotides. The record is from RefSeq and is a predicted model, not a curated record. Lineage: Eukaryota; Metazoa; Chordata; Mammalia; Perissodactyla; Rhinocerotidae.